GUGAACGAGCGACGCCGCGUGGACGAUGAAGUUCUUCGGAACGUAAAGUCCUGUCAUAUGGGAUGAAAAAUCGAUUGACGAAUAAUCUUUCGAUCUGACAGUACCAUAAGAGGAAGCUCCGGCUAACUCCGUGCCAGCAGCCGCGGUAAUACGGGGGGAGCAAGCGUUAUUCGGAUUCAUUGGGCGUAAAGGGUUCGUAGGCGGCCUGACAAGUCAGGGGUGAAAUCCAACGGCUCAACCGUUGACCUGCCUUUGAAACUGUCUGGCUUGAGUAUAGGAGAGGAAAGCGGAAUUCUUGGUGUAGCGGUGAAAUGCGUGGAUAUCAAGAGGAACACCCGUGGCGAAAGCGGCUUUCUGGCCUGAUACUGACGCUGAUGAACGAAAGCUAGGGGAGCAAACGGGAUUAGAUACCCCGGUAGUCCUAGCCGUAAACGAU
Molecule: ribosomal RNA, 436 nt
Filed under: uncultured Latescibacterota bacterium
Lineage: Bacteria; Pseudomonadati; Candidatus Latescibacterota
Description: bacterial SSU rRNA
Rfam family: Bacterial small subunit ribosomal RNA
Source: RNAcentral